UGGGGAAUAUUGGACAAUGGGGGCAACCCUGAUCCAGCCAUGCCGCGUGUGUGAAGAAGGCCUUUUGGUUGUAAAGCACUUUAAGCAGUGAAGAAGACUCCAUGGUUAAUACCCAUGGACGAUGACAUUAGCUGCAGAAUAAGCACCGGCUAACUCUGUGCCAGCAGCCGCGGUAAUGCAGAGGGUGCAAGCGUUAAUCGGAAUUACUGGGCGUAAAGCGAGCGUAGGUGGCUUGAUAAGUCAGAUGUGAAAGCCCCGGGCUUAACCUGGGAACGGCAUCUGAUACUGUUAGGCUAGAGUAGGUGAGAGGAAGGUAGAAUUCCAGGUGUAGCGGUGAAAUGCGUAGAGAUCUGGAGGAAUACCGAUGGCGAAGGCAGCCUUCUGGCAUCAUACUGACACUGAGGUUCGAAAGCGUGGGUAGCAAACA
This 427-nucleotide ribosomal RNA is filed under the name uncultured bacterium. RNAcentral describes it as "partial 16S ribosomal RNA". It matches the Rfam family "Bacterial small subunit ribosomal RNA", at positions 355 to 774 of the family's 1533-position model. The record is from RNAcentral.